AGGAAAAUAGGGAAAAAAAAUUUGAAGCAAAAAAUGUGGUAAAAUAUUUAAUAACAUAAAUAACAUAAUAUUUCACCAGUGUAAAUGUAAAUAGAACCCAACAACAGCGUUAACAGCCAUUAUUCUCCCAAAUGGGGUGUGUGUCUCACAGUCUGA
This is a long non-coding RNA of Phyllostomus discolor (pale spear-nosed bat), 156 nucleotides long. RefSeq lists it as uncharacterized. The transcript has 3 exons. The record is from RefSeq and is a predicted model, not a curated record. Lineage: Eukaryota; Metazoa; Chordata; Mammalia; Chiroptera; Phyllostomidae.